AGUGAACGCUGGCGGUAGGCCUAACACAUGCAAGUCGAACGGCAGCACAGUAAGAGCUUGCUCUUACGGGUGGCGAGUGGCGGACGGGUGAGGAAUACAUCGGAAUCUACUUUUUCGUGGGGGAUAACGUAGGGAAACUUACGCUAAUACCGCAUACGACCUACGGGUGAAAGCAGGGGAUCUUCGGACCUUGCGCGAUUGAAUGAGCCGAUGUCGGAUUAGCUAGUUGGCGGGGUAAAGGCCCACCAAGGCGACGAUCCGUAGCUGGUCUGAGAGGAUGAUCGGCGACAUGAGAAGUGAGACGGGGUCCAGAGUCCUGCGGGAGGGAGCAGUGGGCAAUGUUGGACAAUGGGGGCAAGCCUGAUCCAGCCGUACGGCGUGGGUGAAAAAGGCCUUCGGGUUGGAAAGCCCUUUUUUGGGUAAAGAAAAGCAGCAGGUUAAUACCCCGCGGUUCUGACGGUACCCAAAGAAUAAGCACCGGCUAACUUCGUG
RNAcentral lists this ribosomal RNA (492 nucleotides) under uncultured bacterium. RNAcentral's name for it is "partial 16S ribosomal RNA". It matches the Rfam family "Bacterial small subunit ribosomal RNA", at positions 29 to 507 of the family's 1533-position model. The record is from RNAcentral.